AUCAGCUCCAGCGCAGCUUGGAGGGCGCGCUCCCAGCUCUGCUAACAGUGAAAGCCCCGGCGAGCUAGCGAGCCCUGGGACCUUGCGCGGAACGUCGCGCAACCCCGCGCUGCGCAGCAGACUACACGGGCGACAGUGACCCUGGCACCUGGCCAGGGAUCCAGCGCUGAUGGGCAAACUGAGGCCAAGCAGGAGGACUUGCCAAAGUAUCCCUGCAGAACACCGCCUGGAGGUCGCACCGCUUGGACACCCACAGUGCGGGUCUGCUCGCCGACCAUCCACUCACAGGAGAAGCCUCCAAAAGGACCAGAGCCAGAAGGGCCCAUGCAGGCCGCGGCUCCCGCCCCUUGGCCGCCCACCUGCUUUUCCCGGCCCGACCUCCCCUCUGCCGAAGCGACUUGGUCAGACUUCCAGACUUAAAACGAAGUCGUUUAUUUCAAUUUUGCUUUCACAUUAUGUUCCGAUACAAUCAAAACU
Molecule: long non-coding RNA, 477 nt
Organism: Bos taurus (domestic cattle)
Lineage: Eukaryota; Metazoa; Chordata; Mammalia; Artiodactyla; Bovidae
Source: Ensembl